Molecule: ribosomal RNA, 222 nt
Filed under: Triticum aestivum (bread wheat)
Lineage: Eukaryota; Viridiplantae; Streptophyta; Magnoliopsida; Poales; Poaceae
Description: partial small subunit ribosomal RNA
Source: RNAcentral
AUGAUCCCCGGACUGCAAUGUUUCCCGGGUGAUGUCAUCCAAUCCUCAAGCUACAAGUCAAGAAAGAGCUACUCUGGCAUGAAUGUAUUGGUUGUUGGAUCUGGCAACUCUGGAAUGGAAAUUGCUUAUGACCUUGCGGCCCAUGGUGCCAAUACUUCAAUCACUAUACGAAGCCCGGUAUGUACACGCAUUAUAUAUUAUUUUUUGACCUGGAAACACUAG